ACGGGAGGCAGCAGUCGGGAAUAUUGCGCAAUGGAGGAAACUCUGACGCAGUGACGCCGCGUAUAGGAAUAAGGUUUUCGGAUUGUAAACUAUUGUCGUUAGGGAAGAAAAAAGACAGUACCUAAGGAGGAAGCUCCGGCUAACUAUGUGCCAGCAGCCGCGGUAAUACAUAGGGAGCAAGCGUUAUCCGGAAUUAUUGGGUGUAAAGGGUGCGUAGACGGAGGAGCAAGUUAGUUGUGAAAUCCCUCGGCUUAACUGAGGAACUGCAAAUAAAACUACUUCCCUUGAGUGUCGGAGAGGAAAGUGGAAUGCCUAGUGUAGCGGUGAAAUGCGUAGAUAUUAGGAGGAACACCAGUUGCGAAGGCGACUUUCUGGACGAUAACUGACGUGGAUGCACGAAAGUGUGGGGAGCAAACAGGAUUAGAUACCCUGGUA
This is a ribosomal RNA of 435 nucleotides. It matches the Rfam family "Bacterial small subunit ribosomal RNA", at positions 341 to 792 of the family's 1533-position model.